CCUACGGGUGACAGCAGUGGGGAAUAUUGCACAAUGGGGGAAACCCUGAUGCAGCAACGCCGCGUGAAGGAAGACGGUUUUCGGAUUGUAAACUUCUAUCAACAGGGAAGAAAGAAAUGACGGUACCUAAAUAAUAAGCCCCGGCUAACUACGUGCCAGCAGCCGCGGUAAUACGUAGGGGGCAAGCGUUAUCCGGAUUUACUGGGUGUAAAGGGAGAGUAGGCGGCAAGGUAAGCGAUAUGUGAAAGCCUUAAGCUUAACUAAAGGCUUGAAUAAGGAACUAUUUAGAUAGAGUAUAGGAGAGGAGAGCGGAAUUCCUAGUGUAGCGGUGAAAUGGGUAGAUAUUAGGAAGAACACAAGUGGCGAAGGCGGCUGUCUGAAAUGAAACU
This 389-nucleotide ribosomal RNA is filed under the name uncultured bacterium. RNAcentral describes it as "partial 16S ribosomal RNA". It matches the Rfam family "Bacterial small subunit ribosomal RNA", at positions 338 to 741 of the family's 1533-position model. The record is from RNAcentral.